Molecule: transfer RNA, 68 nt
Filed under: Meteorus pulchricornis
Lineage: Eukaryota; Metazoa; Arthropoda; Insecta; Hymenoptera; Braconidae
Description: tRNA-Cys
Source: RNAcentral
AUAAUUAGUUUAAAAAAAACAUUAAAUUGCAAAUUUAAAUAUAUAUAUAUACAAAUAUAUAUAUUAUA